CCUUCCUUCGCAGGGCAUUCUCACCCUCUGAAAAGCUGAAAGGCUUUAACAUCUGGAUACGCGCCUGCAGCUGUGCAAAUUAAUGUAGUUUCUUUUAGGAAAUGAAGGGGAAGUUUUCCUGUUGUGAACCUAAAUACCGAGUCUACUCUGCUUUUUCAAUCAGGUGAUGAAGCUUAUGGAAAAAAAGACCAAAGGCCUCAAGGGAUGUUAUUCUUGACCCCCCCGGGGCAAACGGAGGUGUCAGCGUCAGGAGCCAUCCUAACUGAGGCCCUGGUAGGCUGCCUCUUUUCCUUCGGUCGCUGUGGACACUGUGCCGGACGCCUCUGGCAGGACUAACCCUGGGGCUUUUAUGUCCAGCGUGCUGUGCUGUGUGCCUGCAGCAUCCUGUACAAGACAAAGCUACCUUUCUUUCCUCGUGGGAAUGGACCGGCCGGGCUUUGGCAAUCUGGCCCCUCGAAAGACUAAAGUGACCUCUUCCAGCAGGGGAAGACUGAAGCAAGGGGUGCCAGGAAGAACUGGAGUCUCUGGAGAAUGAAAGCUGGAAGCGUGCCCCCGAAAAUCCCCAGCCCCGGGUGGUCAGUGGUCUGACUUGCACGGACCGGUGGCCUUGGCCAGGAGCGGUCCUGUGGGAAGCGCCUUUGCCCAGGCUGUAAUUUUAAUUUCCCUUGGAUGCUUGGCAAAGCCCCUCUGGGGGAGCCCUGGUGCCUGGCAGGAGCAGAGCGGGCUUCCAGGGAGGCAUUCACCCGGUCAGCGUCAGGAACCAUCCUAACUGAGGCCUCGGCUCCCUCUUUCCCUUCGGUCGCCGUGGGUGUGCCGGACGCCUCUGGCAGGACUAACCCCGGGGCUUUUAUGUCCAACGUGCUGUAUGCCUGCAGAAUUGCCACGAGAGGAAAUACUUCAGAGGGGCUUCCCUCCAGAUAAGCCCUGAACGUGCCAGGAGGUUUCAGCCAGAGGAAAGGAGCUGUGGAAGAAAAGCAGCCUAAAAAUAGCCAGCGGGGAUCGUCAGGUUUUCCAGGCAAGAAGAACAAGGAGAGAGAUGAGGGAAUCGGGUUCCAAUUCCUAAUGAUUUGGUGGGUGCAGGAAUGAUUUGUGUGUGUUUUCCAGUCCCUUUUGAUUCCUGAGAUGAUUUUAAAAUGAUGGCUUUAGCAAUCAACUAAAUCGGAGAUGUUGUUUUUGAGAGGAAAUGGUGCCAAAUAAAUGCAGAGUUUUGGGUCA
Molecule: long non-coding RNA, 1215 nt
Organism: Pseudopipra pipra
Lineage: Eukaryota; Metazoa; Chordata; Aves; Passeriformes; Pipridae
Exons: 6
Source: RefSeq, a predicted model, not a curated record